GAUGAACGCUGGCGGCGUGCCUAAUACAUGCAAGUCGAGCGAACGGACGAGAAGCUUGCUUCUCUGAUGUUAGCGGCGGACGGGUGAGUAACACGUGGAUAACCUACCUAUAAGACUGGGAUAACUUCGGGAAACCGGAGCUAAUACCGGAUAAUAUUUUGAACUGCAUGGUUCAAAAGUGAAAGACGGUCUUGCUGUCACUUAUAGAUGGAUCCGCGCUGCAUUAGCUAGUUGGUAAGGUAACGGCUUACCAAGGCAACGAUGCAUAGCCGACCUGAGAGGGUGAUCGGCCACACUGGAACUGAGACACGGUCCAAACUCCUACGGGAGGCAGCAGUAGGGAAUCUUCCGCAAUGGGCGAAAGCCUGACGGAGCAACGCCGCGUGAGUGAUGAAGGUCUUCGGAUCGUAAAACUCUGUUAUUAGGGAAGAACAUAUGUGUAAGUAACUGUGCACAUCUUGACGGUACCUAAUCAGAAAGCCACGGCUAACUACGUG
RNAcentral lists this ribosomal RNA (497 nucleotides) under uncultured bacterium. Its description in RNAcentral is "partial 16S ribosomal RNA". It matches the Rfam family "Bacterial small subunit ribosomal RNA", at positions 28 to 507 of the family's 1533-position model. The record is from RNAcentral.